RNAcentral lists this long non-coding RNA (685 nucleotides) under Solanum tuberosum (potato). RNAcentral's name for it is "long non-coding RNA (STUB_LNC008658)". Lineage: Eukaryota; Viridiplantae; Streptophyta; Magnoliopsida; Solanales; Solanaceae. The record is from RNAcentral.
AAAACUAUCUCCUUCUCUCUAUAACUUAAAAAUAAAAUUUCAAAAGAUCCCAUUAUUCCUUUUUUCCAUUCCAACAUUCUUUGCCUUAUCUUUUUUCCAAGAAAACUUAUAUGUAUUUCUAUAAUUAGACCUUAUUUUUUCCUAAUUAAGUAAGUUUUCUCUUCAAUUUUGUGUCAAAAUAAAUAUAUUGAUUAGUUAUGGGAUUUUACAUGAAAUAUGUACAAUCAUUAGCUUCUGUAUGGUUAGUUAUGUUAUUAUUAGGUCUCUUGUGUUGUUGUCUUAGCAGCAAGCCUCGUUCUCAAGGUGAUAAAACUAGUGGUACUGGUGGUUGCACUUGUGAUGGUGGAUAUGGUGGCGUAUAACGAGCGAAUAUAUAUGAAGUUCAAACUCCAGAAAAAAUUCAUACCACGAUUGAUUUUUUAAAUUUUUUUAAGGAAAUUAAGCUUCGAUAUCGAUUGAUAUACGAUACUUUAGCUUAAUAUAUAGUUUUGUUAGGUUUUGGUUAGUGAUUAUUGUAUAGUGAAUUGGUUUUUGAUUUGUUGAUUAACAUACUUUUAUUGAUUGUUAAUUUCAUAAUCAUUAUUUUGUGCCUUUAUUGUUCUUUCGAUGAAUAUAUGUGGGUGUGUGUCAAUUGUAUUGUCAUUAUAUAGAUUCAAUUAUAGUAAAAUGUGCUGCCCUAAAAGAA